RNAcentral lists this transfer RNA (75 nucleotides) under Bacteroidales bacterium. RNAcentral's name for it is "tRNA-Met". It matches the Rfam family "tRNA". From Rfam's summary of the family: Transfer RNA (tRNA) molecules are approximately 80 nucleotides in length. Their secondary structure includes four short double-helical elements and three loops (D, anti-codon, and T loops). Lineage: Bacteria; Pseudomonadati; Bacteroidota; Bacteroidia; Bacteroidales. RNAcentral also lists the same sequence under 2 other names. The record is from RNAcentral.
CGCGGAGUAGAGCAGUGGUAGCUCGUCAGGCUCAUAACCUGAAGGUCGGUGGUUCGAUCCCGCCCUCCGCAACCA